Non-coding RNA from Daedaleopsis nitida, 83 nucleotides. The record is from the annotation of a GenBank genome assembly. NCBI's taxonomy places the organism in Eukaryota, Fungi, Basidiomycota, Agaricomycetes, Polyporales, Polyporaceae.
UCCCGUUUAGCUCAGUUGGUAGAGCGCGUCACUAGUACCACGUUGGUAUGACGAGGUCAGUCGUUCGAGUCGGCUAAUGGGAA